Rosa chinensis is the source of this 2853-nucleotide long non-coding RNA. RefSeq lists it as uncharacterized. The record is from RefSeq and is a predicted model, not a curated record. The transcript is spliced from 12 exons. Lineage: Eukaryota; Viridiplantae; Streptophyta; Magnoliopsida; Rosales; Rosaceae.
AGUUUGCAAAUAGGGGUGUGCAAAUUUCACCCCCCUCUGAAAAUGAUUGAUGUUCGUUUUUUGUUGUUCGCAGUCUCUAUCAAAGUUCAAACACUGAGGGGCCGACGAAUCAAUUUGUCUUCAUUUUGGAAAAGAAUUUUGCAGGAUAUUCAACACAAGUUUAGCUGGGUCUGGUACCGACCAAAGAUUAGCAGCCAAGUCAUUCUGUACAGAAUGAUUACCACUAUAAAGUCUCAUCUAGCAACCCUGGCACAUUCCUUUCAUCCCUGGUGCCAUUUAGUUGAAUAUUUGCUGCAUUCCUGGUGAAUGAAGGUUGUCGAGGUGAUGAAGAUGAUAGAGAUUGAACUUGAAAAUACAUAAAUUUUGCCCUAGUUAUUUCAGGUUAUUGACAAUAAGUUUUGCAUCGUCAAAUUACAGGAGAGGUUAAACCAAGUGAUGGAGAAAAAGAAACGAUCUAGAUCACGCAUGGAGAUAAUGAACUCGCUUAGGUGAAUGCUCAUGAUGCCAAAUCAAAACUGGAUGACAGAAAAUCCUGAUCUCAUAAAUCUUUUAUGCUAAAAUUCUUUCCCAUGUAAGACAGAACAUAUUAACUAUAACAACCCACAGAAUAGUAAAGAGGAAGCAGCAUAAGCACAUCAUGUGGUGCCCCUUUUACUGUCACCAAAGGUUUCAACCUUCACCAUGUCGCUGAUGCUCUCUAUCGGCGGCAUCUUCAUCUCUACAGUUGGUCUAAAGAGAACAUUUGUGGGGGUGAGCUUCUUUGGUUUAUCUUCAGACAAAUCUGAUGCAGAAGUUACCAUUUGUUGGACAAAAAAAGAGGAUUCUCUACUAUUGGCAGCUGCAACGUUUCAAGUGGCUACAGUUGAUUAUCUAUUGAUCUAGCCAUUACCCAAGAAACAUUGCUAUGGAUGUCAAACCUUCUGCAUGCUAUGAUCUGAAUAAAGACAUCGAAGGACAGUCUGUCAGACCUUCUGCACGCUAUGAUCUCAGUAAAGGCAUUGAAGGACACUUGGGGAAAGACUUUAUCAAGAGAAUGAGAAUAAAAAUAAAAAUAAGGAGCUGGAAAAUCUCAUUAGCCACCAGAAGGUUGUAUCUUUCUGGCUGUUGAGGAUGUCAAAUCCCACAGGGAAGGAACUCGAUCUGAUGAGGUAUUUCAAGAAGUUGCAGGAAGACCCUGCUGUUAGUGUAAGCGGCCCAAUGACACACUGUGGGAUGAAGGUACAUCAAGUUUACACUAAACUUUUAGAUGCUGAAUCAUGUACCAGCCUACCCAAAUUCCAACUGAAACUCCUUCAAUCUCUUGCUGUACUACCUGACAAUCUUGGCGCUUCAGGUAAAAAUCAAGCAUGAACUAUUUAUGACAUUUAUGUUUGAUAAUACCUCUGUAUCAUCACAGCCAAAACAACUACGUACUAUGGAGAAACUGGAAGUUAAUAUGAAAACCAGAAACGAAUUUACAUCUAGCAACCAAGAUGUGCAACAUGAAGCCACUAAGAUCUUACAAAAAGUAAGUAUCAAUGUGCUUUUUCAUCAGCUCAAUGCUCUGGUGUAGCUGUCUGUACGUACACUACUUUUUGAGCUCAAGCACACCAAUUACCAACUACCCUUUGAUGAGAUCAAGUACAGCUUAUCCAAUUUCUCCACCACAAUCAGCAAGUUCAAAUCAAAUAUAUCUAAAAAUUUCAACGAAGACAAUUGAUGUUAUGUUCCAUGGGUAUGGAAUCGGCCGGAGUAGAGAGAGCCCAGGUCUCAUGGUGUUGGAGUUCAGUUGCAUCAGCUGAUGAGAAAUGAGUUGCGCACGUGUGCAAAGUCAUAUUAACUAAUCUUCCUAGAUUUAGACAAAUAAAAUUUUGAUUAAAGAAAAAAAAUGAGAAUAUUACAUCAAUUCAAAACGUCUAUUGCCCUCCAAUAGACGUCUAUUGCCCCUCAAUACACCUUCAACACACUUCUUUUGGCCCAAUAAAACUUUUUUUUUUCCUUCCCCAAUGCUUUUUUCAUUUUCUUUCAAACUCCUUGAAUUUCUCAUAAAUUUCAACCCCUCCCAGCUCUGAAAAUUUGGUUCGUUACCAUUUCUCGUUGUUUCCUCCAAUAGAAGGGUGCAAUCUGGUGCCUCUUCGCUGCUCCGAAGCUCGUGUUGUUUGGGCCCAGACACGUGAUUUGCAUGUGUAAAUUGAGUUUUAUCCAAAAACCCAGAGUAAAUUCAUUUAUUUGGAUCUCGUCACCAUCACAACUAAAUUGAUUCUUUUCUAUUCGACUGAAAUCUUGAAUUUCCACACCAAGUGAAUUCCAAUUUGCAGGGAAUCUGGAACAAGCAGAAUUGGAAAACUGGAGAAGAAAUUGGCUACACUUUGUAUCCUAAUACUAUGAAUUUCAGUAAAAAGAUUUUGGAUGGAGACAAAAUUCCCGAAGAGAACCGAACGUGUUGGAUUCUUCAUCAACUGCAUGCAAUACCGAAAUUCAGCUAAAUCAUAUGAAUCCUAUUCAAAUUCUGCAACACCCAAAUUCAUAUUAUUUACCUUCCACCCAAAAUUGAAGGAAAAAUUGGAGUAGAGAGUAUUUCUGUUCUUUUCCCUAUUCAGGACGGAGAAAAUAUCGGGCUCUUUUAUAUUUGCAGCAAGAAGAGCCACUUGCAGAGGACGAGCAACUUUCGGAGUUUCGGUCGGUUCCUGAGUGUAACAGAUAAACAAGAGAAAAAUGAACUGCCCUUGUGGCUGACAUAGCGGUGAAGCCACAGUCACAUACAAAUAAACUAUUAAUGGUGGACAUUGGGCUCCAGGUUCGAGCCCAAAACAAUUUUUGUUUUUUGUUGCCUAAAACUGUUUCUCCUUUUUUGUUGUUGGACUUUGAGAUUUA